UUCUCACUUAAACUCCCAUUCUCCUCACUCUGUCUGAAAAGUUAAUUCAGAGCAUGGGGUAACUUUUCCGAUGGAGUGAGAGAAUGGGAGGUCAAGUAUUUU
This 102-nucleotide microRNA precursor is filed under the name Prunus persica (peach). RNAcentral describes it as "miR6260 stem-loop (ppe-MIR6260)". The record is from miRBase by way of RNAcentral. Lineage: Eukaryota; Viridiplantae; Streptophyta; Magnoliopsida; Rosales; Rosaceae.